GUCGGGAAUUUUGGGCAAUGGGCGAAAGCCUGACCCAGCAACGCCGCGUGAGGGAUGAAGUAUUUCGGUAUGUAAACCUCGAAAGAAUGGGAAGAAUAAAUGACGGUACCAUUUAUAAGCUCCGGCUAACUACGUGCCAGCAGCCGCGGUAAUACGUAGGGAGCAAGCGUUGUUCGGAUUUACUGGGCGUAAAGGGCGCGUAGGCGGCGCGGUAAGUCACUUGUGAAAUCUCUGAGCUUAACUCAGAACGGCCAAGUGAUACUGCUGUGUUAGAGUGCGGAAGAGGCAACCGGAAUUCUUGGUGUAGCGGUGAAACGCGUAGAUAUCAAGAGGAACACCUGAGGCGAAGGCGGGUUGCUGGGCCGACACUGACGCUGAUGCGCGAAAGCCAGGGGAGCAAACG
Molecule: ribosomal RNA, 403 nt
Filed under: uncultured bacterium
Lineage: Bacteria
Description: bacterial SSU rRNA
Rfam family: Bacterial small subunit ribosomal RNA
Source: RNAcentral